GACAGGGCUGCCUGGAGCCAUGUCCAACGACCCACCCCCACCAUACCCGGGGGGCCCCUCAGCACCACUGAUAGAAGAGAAGCAUGGCCCACCCACUGCACCAGAGGGUGUCACCCCAGUUGUGGGACAGCCACAGGGGGUUCCCAUCCCCCCUCCUGAGUUUGGACCUCCCCCAUAUGAGCCGCCCUCGCAGCCGGGGUUUGUGCCCCCUCACAUGCCCACGGAUGGCUCUGGGCCCUACGUGCCACCAGGUGAGUCCUGUGAGGGGCUGGGGGACACAGGAGGUAGGGAUGGGCAGCAGCACGUUUCCUGGUGCCCUGGGGAGUGGGGGGGACACAAGAGGGGUUGGGGCUGCCAUUUGGGGCUUGCAGUGAGGCUCCUCAAGGUGGGGUGGGGGGCACAGUGCGUGUAGCAGGGUUGGCCCCAAG
RNAcentral lists this long non-coding RNA (428 nucleotides) under Malurus cyaneus samueli. RNAcentral's name for it is "lncRNA (ENSMCSG00000010986.1)". The record is from RNAcentral. Lineage: Eukaryota; Metazoa; Chordata; Aves; Passeriformes; Maluridae.